This 420-nucleotide ribosomal RNA is filed under the name uncultured bacterium. Its description in RNAcentral is "bacterial SSU rRNA". It matches the Rfam family "Bacterial small subunit ribosomal RNA", at positions 355 to 774 of the family's 1533-position model. The record is from RNAcentral.
UAAGGAAUAUUGGUCAAUGGACGCAAGUCUGAACCAGCCAUGCCGCGUGAAGGAUGAAGGUCCUCUGGAUUGUAAACUUCUUUUAUCUGGGACGAAAACGGGAUUUUAUCUCAAUCGACGGUACCAGAGGAAUAAGCACCGGCUAACUCCGUGCCAGCAGCCGCGGUAAUACGGAGGGUGCGAGCGUUAUCCGGAUUUACUGGGUUUAAAGGGUGCGUAGGUGGGCUUAUAAGUCAGUGGUGAAAUCUCCGAGCUUAACUUGGAAACUGCCGUUGAUACUAUAGGUCUUGAAUUAUCUGGAGGUAAGCGGAAUAUGUCAUGUAGCGGUGAAAUGCUUAGAUAUGACAUAGAACACCAAUUGCGGAGGCAGCUUACUACAUAUAAAUUGACGCUGAGGCACGAAAGCGUGGGGAUCAAACA